This 481-nucleotide ribosomal RNA is filed under the name uncultured bacterium. Its description in RNAcentral is "partial 16S ribosomal RNA". It matches the Rfam family "Bacterial small subunit ribosomal RNA", at positions 28 to 507 of the family's 1533-position model. The record is from RNAcentral.
GAUGAACGCUGGCGGCGUGCUUAACACAUGCAAGUCGAACGAAGCAUUUGCGACAGAUUUUUGCGGAAUGAAGGUGCUCAUGACUGAGUGGCGGGAGGGUGAGGAACGCGUGGGUAACCUGCCUUGUACUGGGGGAUAGCAGCAGGAAACGGCUGGUAAUACCGCAUAAGCGCACAAGGUUGCAUGACAUGGUGGGAAAAGCUCCGGUGGUAUAAGAUGGACCCGCGUCGGAUUGGCCAGUUGGUGAGGUAACAGCGCACCAAGGCGACGAUCACUAGCCGACCUGAGAGGCUGACCGGCCACAUUGGGACUGCGACCCGGCCCAGACUCCUACGCGAGGCAGCAGUGGGGAAUAUUGCACAAUGGAGGAUACUCUGAUGCCGCCACGCCGCGUGAGUGAAGAAGUGAUUCGUUAUGUAAAGCUCUAUCAGCAGGGAAGAUAGUGACGGUACCUGACUAAGAAGCUCCGGCUAACUACGUG